Long non-coding RNA from Bos taurus (domestic cattle), 1005 nucleotides. Lineage: Eukaryota; Metazoa; Chordata; Mammalia; Artiodactyla; Bovidae. The record is from Ensembl.
CCUAGACAGAGGAGACUGGUGGGCUGCAGUCCAUAGGGUGGCAAAGAGUGGGACAGACGGAAGUGACUUAGCACACCUGCACUCAGCUGCUGCAAGCAUUAUGUAUCUCUGGCCCGGAAGAAUGAUUCUGUAACUCCAGUGUCACACAAUGACACAGGAAACUAAGUCUCUCUAUAACUUCCAAAAUCACUGCAGAUGGUGACUGCAGCCAUGAAAUUAAAGGACACUUCCUUCUUGGAAGGAAAGCUAUGACAAAGCUAGAUAACAUAUUAAAAAACAGAGACAUCACUUUGCCAACAAAAAGUCUGUCUAGUCAAAGCUAUGGUUUUCCCAGUAGUCACAUAUGGAUGUGAGAGUUGGACCAUAAAGAUGGCUGAGAGCUGAAGAAUUGAUGCUUUUGAAGUAUGGUGCUGGAGAAGACUCUUGAGAGUCCCUUGGACAGCAAGGAGAUCAAUCCAGUCAACCCUAAAGGAAAUCAACCCUGAAUAUUCAUUGGAAGGACUGAUGCUGAAGCUCCAAUACUUUGACCACCUGAUGCGAAGAGACAACUCAUUGGAAAAGAUCCUGAUUCUGGGAAAGAUCAAGGACAGGAGGAGAAAGGGACAACAGAGGAUGAGAUUAUUAGAUAGCAUCACCGACUCAAUGGACUUGAGUUUGAGCAAACUCUGGGAGAUGGUGAAGGACAGGGAAGCCUGGCAAGCUGCAGUCCAUGGGGUAGAAAAGAGUCAGACAUGACUUUAGCAACUGGACAACAAUAUAACCUGCAUAUAACAGGCAAUCGUUUCUUCUCAAACAUCUUUCAAGAUUUCUGGCACAGGUUUUCUUUAUUCCUGAAGCCUGCAAGCAUUCUAUUAGGGUGUUUGAAGCUUCAAAAUAGAAUACCCAACAGAGAGUAACUUAAAGCAUAAGACAAAAUAUUGUUUACUGGAACAAGAAGUCUGGAAGUGAUGGGGAGUAAGGAGAUUGACUCUUUUCAGCAAUAUAACGAUGUCAUCAAGGACCCAG